UGGAAGUUUGUUUGUAAUAACAGCAUCUGGGCAGCGAUCAUGUAACUUUGAGCGGAACUUUUCACUUUUCACGAUUCCGCUUGUCCAAAUUCCGCGUGAAUCUUUUCACGAAUCACAGAGCGAUUACGUAUUGAAACUUGUCAAAAGAGAAAUCACUAAACACGUUAUGAUAUAGGGCGAAGAAAAUAACUAUUUAUUACUAUAAGCCGCGAAUCAUAAAAUUUUUAAGUGCGGAAAAGUAAUAAAUUACAAUACAUAUAGACAAUACAUAUAGGCAUAAAUAAAGCACAUGCAUAUUUCAUCGAAACAAAAAGAAAUGUUAUUAAAUAAUUUAAAUGAUCACGAGGAAUUAGUGAAAGGCCAAGUCGAUAGAAAAAGUGAAAGCAAAAGGAAAUUAACAUGGAAAGAUAUGAAAUCCUACAUUUUAAAAAAAGAAGCAAAAAAACGCAAUUAUGUCCAGGGAACAGGUGGUGGCUCUCCUUGUAACAUAACAUUUUUUAAUUUUGAAGAGGAAGUUUUAAUUUUUUUGACACCUGAAGCAGCCGGGUUAACGAACAUUCCAGAAGGCGGGCUAGCAGAUAAUGUAGAAAUCCAAGAACCAGAAAUGUUUCCAUGUUCCGAAGAAGUUGAACAUGCAGAAAAUAUGCAGCCAAAUAACAGCAUAACAAACAGAAACAAAGUUAAAACAUCAGUAUAAGGAGAUACAAAUAUAAAAAAAGAUACACAAUGGGGAUUUAUAGUAUGAAAAAUGUUUUUGGAAUUCAAUAAGGAAACAUGUGAUAAUAUUAUAUUUAUGACUGAUGUUAACAUCUAUAAAGAAACACGUGAUAUUAUAUUAACGAUUUAUGUUUACGUUUAUAAAGAAAUAUGUGAUGUUAUUUUUACAAUUUAUGUUUGCGUAUAAAGAAGCGAGUGAUAUUAUAUUAACGAUUUAUGUUUACGUCUAUGUGAUGUUAUGUUUACGUCUAUAAAGAAACAUGUGAUAUUAUGUUUACGAUUUUAUGUAAUGUUAUAUAUCAUAAUGAUUGUUAUUACACUGGUUAACUGUAUUGGUAAUGAAUAUAAAACGCAGACAUUUAUAAUAAUAUAAAGGAAAGUAUUUUUAUUAAAUAUGUAAUCAACUAUAUGUCACAAUAAACAUUAUAACAAUAGUGUACAAAUA
Molecule: long non-coding RNA, 1162 nt
Organism: Odontomachus brunneus
Lineage: Eukaryota; Metazoa; Arthropoda; Insecta; Hymenoptera; Formicidae
Exons: 3
Source: RefSeq, a predicted model, not a curated record